CAGUCGCCACGGGAAUACGAAGGGGGCUAGCGUUGCUCGGAAUCACUGGGCGUAAAGGGUGCGUAGGCGGGUCUUUAAGUCAGGGGUGAAUUCCUGGAGCUCAACUCCAGAACUGCCUUUGAUACUGAAGAUCUUGAGUUCGGGGGAGGUGAGUGGAACUGCGAGUGUAGAGGUGAAAUUCGUAGAUAUUCGCAAGAACACCAGUGGCGAAGGCGGCUCACUGGCCCGAUACUGACGCUGAGGCACGAAAGCGUGGGGAGCAAACAGGAUUAGAUACCCCUGUAGUCCCUGUCUCUUAUAC
RNAcentral lists this ribosomal RNA (301 nucleotides) under uncultured bacterium. Its description in RNAcentral is "partial 16S ribosomal RNA". It matches the Rfam family "Bacterial small subunit ribosomal RNA", at positions 509 to 807 of the family's 1533-position model. The record is from RNAcentral.